CCCUUAGAUGUUCUGGACCGCACGCGCGCUACACUGAUGCAUUCAACAAGCCUAGCCUUGACCGAGAGGUCCGGGUAAUCUUUGAAACUGCAUCGUGAUGGGGCUAGAUUAUUGCAAUUAUUAAUCUUCAACGAGGAAUGCCUAGUAAGCGUGAUUCAUCAAAUCGCGUUGAUUACGUCCCUGCCCUUUGUACACACCGCCCGUCGCUCCUACCGAUUGAAUGUGUUGGUGAGGAGCUCGGAUUGGCAGCAGUUGGUGGUUCGCCACCGGCUAUUGCUGAGAAGUCCUCCAAACCGCCCCAUUUAGAGGAAGGAGAANUCGUAACA
This 326-nucleotide ribosomal RNA is filed under the name uncultured eukaryote. Its description in RNAcentral is "partial 18S ribosomal RNA". It matches the Rfam family "Eukaryotic small subunit ribosomal RNA", at positions 1470 to 1796 of the family's 1831-position model. The record is from RNAcentral.